RNAcentral lists this ribosomal RNA (426 nucleotides) under uncultured bacterium. RNAcentral describes it as "bacterial SSU rRNA". It matches the Rfam family "Bacterial small subunit ribosomal RNA", at positions 355 to 775 of the family's 1533-position model. The record is from RNAcentral.
UGGGGAAUUGUUCGCAAUGGGCGCAAGCCUGACGACGCAACGCCGCGUGGAGGAUGAAGGUCUUCGGAUUGUAAACUCCUGUUGCUCGGGACGAACGGCUCUGACCUAAUACGUCUGAGUUUGACGGUACCGGGUGAGGAAGCCCCGGCUAACUCUGUGCCAGCAGCCGCGGUAAUACAGAGGGGGCAAGCGUUGUUCGGAAUUACUGGGCGUAAAGGGCGCGUAGGCGGCCUGCUAGUCGAACGUGAAAUCCCUGGGCUCAACCCAGGAACUGCGUCCGAUACUGGCAGGCUUGAAUUCGGGAGAGGGAUGCGGAAUUCCAGGUGUAGCGGUGAAAUGCGUAGAUAUCUGGAGGAACACCGGUGGCGAAGGCGGCAUCCUGGACCGAGAUUGACGCUGAGGCGCGAAAGCCAGGGGAGCAAACGG